UCCGUAGGGGGCGAGCGUUGUCCGGAUUUAUUGGGCGUAAAGAGCGUGUAGGCGGCCAGGUAGGUCCGUUGUGAAAACUCGAGGCUCAACCUCGAGACGUCGGCGGAAACCCUCUGGCUAGAGUCCGGAAGAGGAGAGUGGAAUUCCUGGUGUAGCGGUGGAAUGCGCAGAUAUCAGGAGGAACACCGAUGGCGAAGGCAGCUCGCUGGGACGGUACUGACGCUGAGGCGCGAAAGCGUGGGGAGCAAACAGG
This 253-nucleotide ribosomal RNA is filed under the name uncultured bacterium. Its description in RNAcentral is "partial 16S ribosomal RNA". It matches the Rfam family "Bacterial small subunit ribosomal RNA", at positions 524 to 776 of the family's 1533-position model. The record is from RNAcentral.